Molecule: ribosomal RNA, 1400 nt
Filed under: Enterococcus durans
Lineage: Bacteria; Bacillati; Bacillota; Bacilli; Lactobacillales; Enterococcaceae
Description: bacterial SSU rRNA
Rfam family: Bacterial small subunit ribosomal RNA
Source: RNAcentral
CGGAGCUUGCUCCACCGGAAAAAGAAGAGUGGCGAACGGGUGAGUAACACGUGGGUAACCUGCCCAUCAGAAGGGGAUAACACUUGGAAACAGGUGCUAAUACCGUAUAACAAUCGAAACCGCAUGGUUUUGAUUUGAAAGGCGCUUUCGGGUGUCGCUGAUGGAUGGACCCGCGGUGCAUUAGCUAGUUGGUGAGGUAACGGCUCACCAAGGCCACGAUGCAUAGCCGACCUGAGAGGGUGAUCGGCCACAUUGGGACUGAGACACGGCCCAAACUCCUACGGGAGGCAGCAGUAGGGAAUCUUCGGCAAUGGACGAAAGUCUGACCGAGCAACGCCGCGUGAGUGAAGAAGGUUUUCGGAUCGUAAAACUCUGUUGUUAGAGAAGAACAAGGAUGAGAGUAACUGUUCAUCCCUUGACGGUAUCUAACCAGAAAGCCACGGCUAACUACGUGCCAGCAGCCGCGGUAAUACGUAGGUGGCAAGCGUUGUCCGGAUUUAUUGGGCGUAAAGCGAGCGCAGGCGGUUUCUUAAGUCUGAUGUGAAAGCCCCCGGCUCAACCGGGGAGGGUCAUUGGAAACUGGGAGACUUGAGUGCAGAAGAGGAGAGUGGAAUUCCAUGUGUAGCGGUGAAAUGCGUAGAUAUAUGGAGGAACACCAGUGGCGAAGGCGGCUCUCUGGUCUGUAACUGACGCUGAGGCUCGAAAGCGUGGGGAGCAAACAGGAUUAGAUACCCUGGUAGUCCACGCCGUAAACGAUGAGUGCUAAGUGUUGGAGGGUUUCCGCCCUUCAGUGCUGCAGCUAACGCAUUAAGCACUCCGCCUGGGGAGUACGACCGCAAGGUUGAAACUCAAAGGAAUUGACGGGGGCCCGCACAAGCGGUGGAGCAUGUGGUUUAAUUCGAAGCAACGCGAAGAACCUUACCAGGUCUUGACAUCCUUUGACCACUCUAGAGAUAGAGCUUCCCCUUCGGGGGCAAAGUGACAGGUGGUGCAUGGUUGUCGUCAGCUCGUGUCGUGAGAUGUUGGGUUAAGUCCCGCAACGAGCGCAACCCUUAUUGUUAGUUGCCAUCAUUCAGUUGGGCACUCUAGCAAGACUGCCGGUGACAAACCGGAGGAAGGUGGGGAUGACGUCAAAUCAUCAUGCCCCUUAUGACCUGGGCUACACACGUGCUACAAUGGGAAGUACAACGAGUCGCGAAGUCGCGAGGCUAAGCUAAUCUCUUAAAGCUUCUCUCAGUUCGGAUUGUAGGCUGCAACUCGCCUACAUGAAGCCGGAAUCGCUAGUAAUCGCGGAUCAGCACGCCGCGGUGAAUACGUUCCCGGGCCUUGUACACACCGCCCGUCACACCACGAGAGUUUGUAACACCCGAAGUCGGUGAGGUAACCUUUGGAGCCAGCCG